Molecule: ribosomal RNA, 490 nt
Filed under: uncultured bacterium
Lineage: Bacteria
Description: partial 16S ribosomal RNA
Rfam family: Bacterial small subunit ribosomal RNA
Source: RNAcentral
AUUGAACGCUGGCGGCAGGCCUAACACAUGCAAGUCGAACGGUAACAGGAAACAGCUUGCUGUUUCGCUGACGAGUGGCGGACGGGUGAGUAAUGUCUGGGAAACUGCCUGAUGGAGGGGGAUAACUACUGGAAACGGUAGCUAAUACCGCAUAACGUCGCAAGACCAAAGAGGGGGACCCUCGGGCCUCUUGCCAUCGGAUGUGCCCAGAUGGGAUUAGCUUGUUGGUGGGGUAACGGCUCACCAAGGCGACGAUCCCUAGCUGGUCUGAGAGGAUGACCAGCCACACUGGAACUGAGACACGGUCCAGACUCCUACGGGAGGCAGCAGUGGGGAAUAUUGCACAAUGGGCGCAAGCCUGAUGCAGCCAUGCCGCGUGUAUGAAGAAGGCCUUCGGGUUGUAAAGUACUUUCAGCGGGGAGGAAGGGAGUAAAGUUAAUACCUUGGCUCAUUGACGUUACCCGCAGAAGAAGCACCGGCUAACCCCGUG